AUUGAACGCUGGCGGCAUGCUUUACACAUGCAAGUCGAACGGUAACAGGGUGCUUGCACCGCUGACGAGUAGCGAACGGGUGAGUAAUGCGUCGGAACGUGCCGAGUAGUGGGGGAUAACGCAGCGAAAGUUGUGCUGAUACCGCAUACGUACUGAGGUAGAAAGUGGGGGACCUUCGGGCCUCACGCUAUUCGAGCGGCCGACGUCUGAUUAGCUAGUAGGUGAGGUAAAGGCUCACCUAGGCGACGAUCAGUAGCGGGUCUGAGAGGAUGAUCCGCCACACUGGGACUGAGACACGGCCCAGACUCCCACGGGAGGCAGCAGUGGGGAAUUUUGGACAAUGGGCGAAAGCCUGAUCCAGCCAUGCCGCGUGUCUGAAGAAGGCCUUCGGGUUGUAAAGGACUUUUGUCAGGGAGGAAAUCCCUAGUGCUAAUAACACUGGGGGAUGACAGUACCUGAAGAAUAAGCACCGGCUAACUACGUGCCAGCCGCCGCGGUAA
RNAcentral lists this ribosomal RNA (500 nucleotides) under uncultured bacterium. Its description in RNAcentral is "partial 16S ribosomal RNA". It matches the Rfam family "Bacterial small subunit ribosomal RNA", at positions 30 to 523 of the family's 1533-position model. The record is from RNAcentral.